GGCGCUGUGGCUUAGCUGGUUAAAGCGACUGUCCUGUAAACAGGAGAUCCUUCAUUCAAAUCUCAGCAAUGCCU
Molecule: transfer RNA, 74 nt
Filed under: Xenopus tropicalis (tropical clawed frog)
Lineage: Eukaryota; Metazoa; Chordata; Amphibia; Anura; Pipidae
Description: Xenopus (Silurana) tropicalis (western clawed frog) tRNA
Rfam family: tRNA
About the family: Transfer RNA (tRNA) molecules are approximately 80 nucleotides in length.
Source: Rfam by way of RNAcentral